UGAUGUUCAGCAAAGGGCGUUGGCUCUC
This 28-nucleotide small RNA is filed under the name Bombyx mori (domestic silkworm). RNAcentral describes it as "ovarian small RNA-32959". The record is from RNAcentral. Lineage: Eukaryota; Metazoa; Arthropoda; Insecta; Lepidoptera; Bombycidae.